UCAAAUCAUCAUGCCCUUAUGUUCUGGGCUACGACACGUGCUACAAUGGCCGGUACAGACGGACGCAAAGCCGCGAGGCGGAGCAAAUCCGAAAAAGCCGGUCUACAGUUCGGAUUGCAGGCUGCAAUUCGCCUGCAUGAAGUCGGAAUCGCUAGUAAUCGCAGGUCAGCAUACUGCGGUGAAUACGUUCCCGGGCCUU
This 199-nucleotide ribosomal RNA is filed under the name uncultured Pelotomaculum sp. RNAcentral's name for it is "partial 16S ribosomal RNA". It matches the Rfam family "Bacterial small subunit ribosomal RNA", at positions 1185 to 1382 of the family's 1533-position model. The record is from RNAcentral. Lineage: Bacteria; Bacillati; Bacillota; Clostridia; Eubacteriales; Desulfotomaculaceae.